Molecule: long non-coding RNA, 2517 nt
Filed under: Salmo salar (Atlantic salmon)
Lineage: Eukaryota; Metazoa; Chordata; Actinopteri; Salmoniformes; Salmonidae
Description: lncRNA (ENSSSAG00000095020.1)
Source: RNAcentral
GUGUUUGGGAGUGUGGUGUGUUCCGUUGAGGUGUGACCAGAGCACCUUUAUAACUUAAGUGUCUUAGCUUGCAGGAUAGCAUAUGGCCCAUAGAUUACUUUAGUACCACAGGGUAAUGUAGCACCUGUAAACACACAAACCUCUUCAGUGUAAAAUGUAAUCACUUUACCAUACAUAACAUGACAUAAGGUAAUUUAACCAAAUUGAAGUGUUUAACCAAAGACUCAGUAAAGGGUAUUUCAAAAGAGGACCGCAACAUCCAUAUGCUGAUAACGUUGUUGAUUAUGACGUACAGCCACUAUGCUGUCAUAAAUGCGUUAAACUCUGCGGUCUACGCGUAAACUAAACUAUGAUUUUAUAACUCAUACUGUAACUUGCAGGCAGCAUGUGUUAUGCCGCGUUCAUGUGCUAGUCUUAUCUAGGAAACUCGUACAUUCCCGCCUUGCUAACUGAAUGAAUGCGGCAUGUGUGUGACUACAAACAGUUAGCAAGUCUGAAAUUUCAGAGUUUCCUUGUUUUGACUAGUUAAUAAACGCGGCAUUACAUUGAGCGGUGACUUCUCUACAGAAGGGCUUCACGGUGACGUCACACCAAACCAGCAAAUGACUUCCUUGGAGAUGACUGUCGCGUCCCGUCGUUAGGAACACUGCUGUGCGUGACACAGGCCGGCGAUUAAUCCAGGACAUAUAAGAGGUUUAGUUGGUAAUAGGCGUAAUGCCUCGAAAUGCAGUAGUUAUCGUGCGCUACGGCCCUUAUAAAUCAUGUGGCAUCGUGGAUCACAGAACGUUCCGUCUGAUUGGCCUCCAAGCUGCAUUGAAAGAGAAUGGACAUCAAAGUGUCUUGGAGAAAAUGUCCGAUUGGAACAAGGUGGAACUUGUGGUCAAUGGAGAAUGUGUCUAUACAUGCAGCAUAAAACAGCUGGAGUUUGGAGGAGAUGGGAAACUGGACCCCCUAUGCAAGGAGGCCGUCAGUGCUGUGCAGAAUGCAUACUGAGAUACACCCACACUCUACCAGGAGAUUGGUCAAGGGGAUGAAUCUAAUCUAGUAGUAAACCUGAAGAGAAACACAGCAACAGACACUUUUUGUAUUUUUUUGAUGACAAGCAUUAUAGUACCAUACAAUAGUAUUCUCCAGCAUUAAGUCAAGUGUUGUUGUAUUUAUUGCUACAUAAUCUCGGAGACCCAGAAUCAAAUGUGCCGUGUAUGCUGGUCAUCUCAACAGUCUGUCGUGAGAGACUGCAACAUGCUAAUUGCGAAAUGUAGUCAUUAUAGUUUCUUAUGAUUUUUAUUUAGUGGUGAUUGACUGUGCUAUAGUUACUCUAUCAUUGUCAAUAUUGCCUCAGACAAUUUUGUGUCUGGUCCCUGUCUGAAAACAUACAUUACAAAAUCCAAAUAAUUCCCUUAACCUUUGGCAUACAACCAUUCUUAGAUCUGCUUCCUGUGGUCUCUCUCCUCAUCUGAAUAUGAUUACUUCUGCAAUCCAUUCUCAAUUAGCCUUAUGGGAGGGAUUGUGCACUAAUAGAAUCAUACCCCAUCGGUCAAACCACAGACCAAAUUAGCAGACCAAAUUUGCACUGCAAGCAAAAUCCAAACAGUCAUGCAAACACUGCCACACAGUCACAGUCUGGCCGCGUCCCAAAUGGCACCCUAUUCUCUAUGCGGUGCACUACUUUUGACCAGAGCCCUGGUCAAAAGUAGUGCACUCUUAAGGGAAUAGGGUGCCAUUUGGGACGCUACGUCUGAGGCUAGGCUCAAUGUCAGCUUCAAAGUUAACCAAAAACAUAUGGAGGUGCUUAUAGGGGUUCAUGGCACUUACCACAUUUCAUUUCAAUGCAAUCAAGCCCCCCCCACACACACACACACACAUAUAAAUACAGUACGCCUCCUACGUGAUUGUCCUCGAAACGUUAUUAAUGCUUUAUUACUAAAACAGCCAGCUUGGAGGACUUUCUUUUUGGAAGAAUAUCAGACAACCAAAAGAGAACCUUGUCCCCCAUCUUCUGAAAGAGCCGAGAUGAUUACCUCCGUUUCUUCCUGUGCGGCAUCAGUGUAUACAUCCCAAAUGUCACCCUAUUCCAUAUAUGGUGCACUACUUUUUACCAGAACAAGUAGAAGUAGUGCACUAUAUAGGGAAUAGGGUCCCAUUCGGGACGCAAUGUCUAGCACUGAAACAUAUUUAAGGGGGAGUAAACAAAAAGAAACAAACUGAAAUAUACUCUCUGUUUCUCUCCUCGCGCCUCCACCCUCCUAAACUAUUGCCUAAAGCUCCUGUUUUUAACAGCUCUUUAACAGUUUGCUAGAUUUUCAACCUGGCUAGGUGGAUAGCACAGUUAAUGUACCUGACAGCGAAGCUAUGGAAUUCAGAGAAAACAUCUGGGUGUCAAAUAAAAGCAAUUGUCAAAGCAAAUAGACUCAGGCAGUAGUGAAAUCCUUUAGGAGGGUUAUUGUGAUGUCAAUGCUAUUGAAUAACUGGUAGAGAAUACAGCCAGCUGGCCCCACUUGCCUGAUUAAAGGUGUG